AUUGAACGCUGGCGGCAUGCCUUACACAUAGCAAGUCGAACGGCAGCACGGGGGCAACCCUGGUGGCGAGUGGCGGACGGGUGAGUAAUGCAUCGGAACGUGCCCUGAAGUGGGGGAUAACGCAGCGAAAGCUACGCUAAUACCGCAUAUUCUGUGAGCAGGAAAGCAGGGGAUCGCAAGACCUUGCGCUUUGGGAGCGGCCGAUGUCGGAUUAGCUAGUUGGUGGGGUAAAGGCCUACCAAGGCGACGAUCCGUAGCGGGUCUGAGAGGAUGAUCCGCCACACUGGGACUGAGACACGGCCCAGACUCCUACGGGAGGCAGCAGUGGGGAAUUUUGGACAAUGGGCGAAGCCUGAUCCAGCCAUGCCGCGUGAGUGAAGAAGGCCUUCGGUUGUAAAGCUCUUCGUGGGAGAAUUGCAUAGGCGUAAUACCCUGUGUAGAUGUACAGUACCUGGAGAAGAAGACACCGGCUAACUACGUG
Molecule: ribosomal RNA, 481 nt
Filed under: uncultured bacterium
Lineage: Bacteria
Description: bacterial SSU rRNA
Rfam family: Bacterial small subunit ribosomal RNA
Source: RNAcentral